Bactrocera tryoni is the source of this 189-nucleotide long non-coding RNA. RefSeq lists it as uncharacterized. The record is from RefSeq and is a predicted model, not a curated record. The transcript is spliced from 3 exons. NCBI's taxonomy places the organism in Eukaryota, Metazoa, Arthropoda, Insecta, Diptera, Tephritidae.
AAUUUUUUGCGGAUAUGUCAAAAUGAUCUUCGCGAAAAGGUGUUGUUUUUAUUGUGGAAUGUAUGGAUUUAUUGUACCACUCGAUACACUUGUUGUUCUAAAUUUUUCAGAUAAUGUGCUGUGCAGCCUUUCUACGUCUGCAUUCCCGGUGACGAUAUGUACAUAUGUAUUUUAUGCGUUUAAGGCGGC